AGUGAACGCUGGCGGUAGGCCUAACACAUGCAAGUCGAACGGCAGCACAGUAAGAGCUUGCUCUUACGGGUGGCGAGUGGCGGACGGGUGAGGAAUACAUCGGAAUCUACUUUUUCGUGGGGGAUAACGUAGGGAAACUUACGCUAAUACCGCAUACGACCUACGGGUGAAAGCAGGGGAUCUUCGGACCUUGCGCGAUUGAAUGAGCCGAUGUCGGAUUAGCUAGUUGGCGGGGUAAAGGCCCACCAAGGCGACGAUCCGUAGCUGGUCUGAGAGGAUGGUCAGCCACACUGGAGCGGGGACAGGGUCCAGACUCCUGAGGGAGGGAGCAGUGGGGAAUAUUGGACAAUGGGCGCAAGCCUGAUCCAGCCAUACCGCGUGGGUGAAGAAGGCCUUCGGGUUGUAAAGCCCUUUUGUUGGGAAAGAAAAGCAGCAGGUUAAUACCCCGCUGUUCUGACGGUACCCAAAGAAUAAGCACCGGCUAACUUCGUG
This 492-nucleotide ribosomal RNA is filed under the name uncultured bacterium. RNAcentral's name for it is "partial 16S ribosomal RNA". It matches the Rfam family "Bacterial small subunit ribosomal RNA", at positions 29 to 507 of the family's 1533-position model. The record is from RNAcentral.